Molecule: non-coding RNA, 83 nt
Filed under: Veronia pacifica
Lineage: Bacteria; Pseudomonadati; Pseudomonadota; Gammaproteobacteria; Vibrionales; Vibrionaceae
Source: RNAcentral
AACAAUGGUGGGCUGGGCGAGGCCGCUUCGGUGGGCCGCUUCCUAUGUCGCGGUAGUCUCAACCUUGUCCAGUUCGCACCCGG